Molecule: ribosomal RNA, 433 nt
Filed under: uncultured bacterium
Lineage: Bacteria
Description: bacterial SSU rRNA
Rfam family: Bacterial small subunit ribosomal RNA
Source: RNAcentral
AAUGAACGCUGGCGGCAUGCCUAACACAUGCAAGUCGAACGAGAUCUUCGGAUCUAGUGGCGCACGGGUGAGUAACGCGUGGGAACCUACCUUUUAGUACGGGACAACGUUUGGAAACGAACGCUAAUACCGUAUACGCCCUCCGGGGGAAAGGUCAGCCGCUAAAAGAGGGGCCCGCGUCUGAUUAGCUUGUUGGUAAGGUAAUGGCUUACCAAGGCGACGAUCAGUAGCUGGUCUGAGAGGAUGAUCAGCCACACUGGGACUGAGACACGGCCCAGACUCCUACGGGAGGCAGCAGUGGGGAAUAUUGGACAAUGGAGGCAACUCUGAUCCAGCAAUGCCGCGUGUGUGAUGAAGGCCCUAGGGUUGUAAAGCACUUUCAACGGUGAAGAUGAUGACGGUAGCCGUAGAAGAAGCCCCGGCUAACUUCGUG